RNAcentral lists this long non-coding RNA (1779 nucleotides) under Prunus dulcis (almond). RNAcentral's name for it is "sRNA ncRNA". The record is from RNAcentral. Lineage: Eukaryota; Viridiplantae; Streptophyta; Magnoliopsida; Rosales; Rosaceae.
AGAAGAUUCAACCCAGACCGACAAAGAAGAGAUCUUUUCCAAGGGAAAAUUCUACCAUGCGCAAGGUGCAUGGAUGCGCCAAUAAUAUUGACCAUUGGAUAAGCAGCUAGUGGAUGUGGGUUAAUCCACACCUUUGAUUGUUGGUGACUUGUUUAACUGGUUGUUGUAGGUUAAAUAUUUAAAAACAAAUAAAAUUAAAAUGUGAAGCUUCUCUCUCCGAUUUCGCUGCUGCUCCUCUCUCUUUCAUAAGGAUCAAAUAUGGGUUCAUUCCAUGAAAUCAAUUCUAGCGCUCAAUCGUCUACUGGUAAUUUUUAUAAUCAAUUUUCUAACUUUAUUAGCAAAUUACAUCUUGGAAUUGAAAUUGAGAUUUGAGAAAUUCAUGAGUUAUGUGCUGUUAUGGAUUGUGGUGUGUAAAACAGGGAUUGAAACUUGCUCCCUCUGAUACAUGAAAUCAUGAAAUUAGAAGCUGGGUUCGAUGAAGUUGAUUGGCUUUGGAUUCCCAGACAUCUAAAUCACGGUGCCCAUGUAGCGGCAGGGAUUGAUUUGAGGACGGUGGAGCUGCAAAAGUUGAGCUGGGGUGGGGAACAUGUUGUUGGGCUUGUGUUUUCGGCUUUAGCUUGAUUCCUUCCUAGUGUUUUUUUUUUCCUUUCUAUUUUUUUCUUUUCCUUCUACACUCGUUGGUUGUUUUUCUCCCACCGCAUUUUUUAGGCUUUCUUGAUCUCAACCAAAAAUAAAAGGCGAUAUUUAUAGAUGCGAUGAAAUGCAAAGAUGGAGAAAGCUUCAAAGUAUUUUGAUAUGUGAUUUUGGAAUGCAAUUACCAAAAUAUAGUUAGCUAUAACUAUUGUUUUAUUUGGCUUGUAUAUUUUCAUGUUUACAGGACUUCCCAACCCAUUGAACAUGAAACUUCACUGCAAUCAAUGGUACCAUGCAUAUGAAGAGUCCUAAUUUGCACGACUUCUAUAUCUUCUACAUGGGAAAGGGACUUACUCUUCUUCUUGUGCUUCUUAAUUUCAAAUUGGUUUUGAUUAUGUUUUUCAGUUAGGUAUUGUUUUGAUUUUGAUUUUGGAUUUGCAGGUAUUCCAACUAGCGGCCCAUCCACCCUUCCCAGCAUCUGAUAAGGGUAAAUUUUUUUUUUUCCCUUCAAAUUUAUCUCUCUGUCUCUGUCUUUCAUUUUGGUGAAUGGUUGAGGAUGUUAUUUAUUUAUUUUAGUAAUGCAUGAGGAAUAUAUAUAUUAUGAACUGCAUGUUAAAAACUAUCAUGCUACAUUGGAAGUGGUAUUAUUUGCCUAAUCUUGGCAUAGUGCUAAGAAUAGUUAAGUUUGGAAUCACAAAAUGAGGACGUAAAGACAAACACCAGGCCAUUGUACAUUGCAUUGGAGAUAUGGUUGAAGCUGGUCCCAGCUUUUGGCUGCUUUCGUUGCACUUUUUUGUUUGAUAUUCAAAGCCUAUAAGAUUGAUGAUCGUUAUACAAUCCAACAAGUAAAAAAAGGAAAAAGAAAAGAACAAAUCUCUACCCCAAACUGGCAUUUUGCUUUCUAUUCAAGUUAAUUAUGUUGUAGGUUUGUUCUUUUUUUGUUUACAAUGAUGAAUUUCUAAUUGUUUUCAUAUUACCCCCAUUGCUUUAUGUUUCCAUUCAUUUUAUUGAUAGUUUCGUGAUUGUUUUUCAGGUUGGGGUAAAGAAUUAGGCCAAGUACAAGACUAAUAUACUAUUUUGGAGUCUAUUUAUUUGGCUACUUGAAUUUGUAAUAUUUUCAUUGUAUCUGGAGAUUGUAUUUUUUUU